This 1999-nucleotide ribosomal RNA is filed under the name Notothrix halsei. RNAcentral's name for it is "SSU rRNA". It matches the Rfam family "Eukaryotic small subunit ribosomal RNA". The record is from RNAcentral. Lineage: Eukaryota; Metazoa; Arthropoda; Branchiopoda; Diplostraca; Nototrichidae.
UUGUCUCAAAGAUUAAGCCAUGCAUGUCUAAGUACGAGCCGUUUUACGGCGAAACCGCGAAUGGCUCAAUAAAUCAGUUAUGGUUCCUUAGCUAAACCUCAUUACUUGGAUAACUGUGGUAAUUCUAGAGCUAAUACAUGCUACUCAAUUUCGACGGUGCGAACCGAAGAAAGGCUUUUAUUAGACCAAAACCAGUACGGCCCUUAAAAAGCCGUCUAUUAUGGUGACUCUGGAUAACUUCAGCGGAUCGCACGGCUUCGAGCCGGCGACGAGUCUUUCAAAUGUCUGCCUUAUCAACUGUCGAUGGUACGUUACGCGCGUACCAUGGUCGCAACGGGUAACGGGGAAUCGGGGUUCGAUUCCGGAGAGGGAGCCUGAGAAACGGCUACCACAUCCAAGGAAGGCAGCAGGCGCGCAAAUUACCCACUCCCGGCACGGGGAGGUAGUGACGAAAAAUAACGAUACGGGACUCUUCCGAGGCCCCGUGAUUGGAAUGAGUUGAAUUUAAAUCCUACUACGAGGAACGAUUGGAGGGCAAGUCUGGUGCCAGCAGCCGCGGUAACUCCAGCUCCAAUAGCGUAUAUUAAAGUUGUUGCGGUUAAAAAGCUCGUAGUCGGAAUUUUGGCGGUGCGGGGUAAUUGACUGAGGCCUACGGGCUUUAGUUUAUCUUUCCUUGGCCUGGACGGGGUGACCCGCCUUCGGUCUUAGCCGCGCCGCCGUCAGCCGUUUGGCUUCACCGGGUGCCCUUCAAAAGGUGUCUGUGAAAGCUACGGCGCGAUUCACUUUGAACAAAUUAGAGUGCUCAAAGCAGGCUAACUUAGCCGGAAUAUCUCAGCAUGGAAUGAUGGAAAAUGUACCGUGGCCGAUUUUUUUACUGGCUUCACUUCCACGGUAAAUGGUCGAUAGAAACGGACGGGGGCAUCCGUACCGCGGCGAUAGAGGUGAAAUUCUUGGACCGCCGCGAGACGAACGACUGCGAAGGCAUUUGCCAAGAAUGCUUUCAUUGAUCAAGAACGAAAGUUAGAGGUUCGAAGGCGAUCAGAUACCGCCCUAGUUCUAACCAUAAACGAUGCCGACCGGCGAUCCGCCGGUGUUACUCCCAUGACUCGGCGGGCGGCUUCCGGGAAACCACGAGUGUUCGGGUUCCGGGGGAAGUAUGGUUGCAAAGCUGAAACUUAAAGGAAUUGACGGAAGGGCACCACCAGGAGUGGAGCCUGCGGCUUAAUUUGACUCAACACGGGAAACCUCACCAGGCCCGGACACUGUAAGGAUGGACAGAUUGAGAGCUCUUUCUUGAUUCGGUGGGUGGUGGUGCAUGGCCGUUCUUAGUUGGUGGAGCGAUUUGUCUGGUUAAUUCCGAUAACGAACGAGACUCUAUCCUAUUAACUAGAUUUUCGGUUUUUCAUUUGGGGGGGGUGUUAAAGCCUUUCCCGAUUAUAUUUGAGUUUGUGAAAGUCGGGGAAUCUGGAGUGCGGUUUUUCUGUUUUGCGGGUGGCGGCGUUCGCGCGUCGUCUUCCGUUCGAUAGAGCCGUGCUCCCCCUCGGCUGACACUUGCUCGCGCCGGAAAGAUACCUUCUUAGAGGAAUAAGCGGCGUCCAGCCGCGUGACAGUGAGUAAUAACAGGUCUGUGAUGCCCUUAGAUGUCCUGGGCCGCACGCGCGCUACACUGAAGGCAGCAGCGCGUCACAUCCCCCGGUCGGAGACGAUCGGGUAACCGCUGAACCGCCUUCGUGGUUGGGAUUGGGGACUGCGAUGAUCCCCACGAACCAGGAAUCCCUAGUAGGCGCGGGUCACUAGCCCGCGUCGAUUACGUCCCUGCCCUUUGUACACACCGCCCGUCGCUACUACCGAUUGAAUGAUUUAGUGAUGACUUUGGACGAUUCUGUUUGUGGAGCGCGAGCUUUACGGACGGGAAUGAAAAAUGUCCGAACUUGAUCCUUUAGAGGAAGUAAAAGUCGUAACAAGGUUUCCGCAGGUGAACCUGCAGAUGGAUCAGUUA